GACGAACGCUGGCGGCGUGCUUAACACAUGCAAGUCGAAGGGAAAGGCCCUGCAUUUGUGGGUUGCUCGAGUGGCGAACGGGCGCGUAACACGUGAGUAACUUGCCCUUGACUUUGGGAUAACUUCAGGAAACUGGGGCAAAUAGCGGAUAGGAGCUCCUGCUGCAUGGUGGGGGUUGGAAAGUUUCGGCGGUUGGGGAUGGACUCGCGGCUUAUCAGCUUGUUGGUGGGGUUGUGGCUUACCAAGGCUUUGACGGGUAGCCGGCCUGAGAGGGUGACCGGCCACAUUGGGACUGAGAUACGGCCCGGACUCCUGCGGGAGGCAGGAGUGGGGAAUAUUGCACAAUGGGCGGAAGCCGGAUGCAGCAACGCCGCGUGCGGGAUUACGGCCUUCGGGUUGUAAGCCGCUUUCGCCGGUGACGAAGCGUGAGUGAAGGUAAUGGGUAAAGAAGCACCGGCUAACUACGUG
Molecule: ribosomal RNA, 468 nt
Filed under: uncultured bacterium
Lineage: Bacteria
Description: partial 16S ribosomal RNA
Rfam family: Bacterial small subunit ribosomal RNA
Source: RNAcentral